This 874-nucleotide ribosomal RNA is filed under the name uncultured bacterium. RNAcentral describes it as "bacterial SSU rRNA". It matches the Rfam family "Bacterial small subunit ribosomal RNA", at positions 56 to 890 of the family's 1533-position model. The record is from RNAcentral.
UGCAGUCGAGCGAGUCUGCCUUGAAGAUCGGAGUGCUUGCACUCUGUGAAACAAGAUACAGGCUAGCGGCGGACGGGUGAGUAACACGUGGGUAACCUGCCCAAGAGAUCGGGAUAACACCUGGAAACAGAUGCUAAUACCGGAUAACAACAGAUGAUGCCUAUCAACUGUUUAAAAGAUGGUUCUGCUAUCACUCUUGGAUGGACCUGCGGUGCAUUAGCUAGUUGGUAGGGUAACGGCCUACCAAGGCGAUGAUGCAUAGCCGAGUUGAGAGACUGAUCGGCCACAUUGGGACUGAGACACGGCCCAAACUCCUACGGGAGGCAGCAGUAGGGAAUCUUCCACAAUGGACGCAAGUCUGAUGGAGCAACGCCGCGUGAGUGAAGAAGGGUUUCGGCUCGUAAAGCUCUGUUGUUGGUGAAGAAGGACAGGGGUAGUAACUGACCUUUGUUUGACGGUAAUCAAUUAGAAAGUCACGGCUAACUACGUGCCAGCAGCCGCGGUAAUACGUAGGUGGCAAGCGUUGUCCGGAUUUAUUGGGCGUAAAGCGAGUGCAGGCGGCUCGAUAAGUCUGAUGUGAAAGCCUUCGGCUCAACCGGAGAAUUGCAUCAGAAACUGUCGAGCUUGAGUACAGAAGAGGAGAGUGGAACUCCAUGUGUAGCGGUGAAAUGCGUAGAUAUAUGGAAGAACACCGGUGGCGAAGGCGGCUCUCUGGUCUGUUACUGACGCUGAGGCUCGAAAGCAUGGGUAGCGAACAGGAUUAGAUACCCUGGUAGUCCAUGCCGUANACGAUGAGUGCUAAGUGUUGGGAGGUUUCCGCCUCUCAGUGCUGCAGCUAACGCAUUAAGCACUCCGCCUGGGGAGUACGACCGCA